GUGUACGCGGACUGCACACUCGUUGAACGUUGCAGGGCAACAGUUCUGAUCCCCAGCAAGUGGUAUACAAGUCGUACCUUGGAAGUCAAAUGGAAUCCGUUCAGGAAGUCCGUUCGACUUCCAAAACAUUUGAAAACCAAAUUGCGGCUUCUGAUUGGCUGUACAAAGUGCCUGCAGCCAAUCGGAAGCCACGGAAGCACCGUCGCACGUUCAGGUUCCAAAAGAACGCCAGAAACCAGAACAAUCACUUCUGGGUUUGCGCCGUUUGGGAGCCAAAACAUCCGAGUUCCAGGGCGUUCGGGAUCCCAGGUACAACUGUACUGCCUCUGACAGUGGAGAAAUUGUUGUUGUGCCAUGUGUUGUUGUGUGGUGGUUGUUUUAUGAAUUGCUUCCAAUACAACUGCCUCCAGGCAAUGUACAAUAAACAUGGCAACAACAAAAGCAGUUAAAAAACACAAAAACCAGCAGACGCAUUUAAAAACAAAACAAAACAAAUAUUUGAUAUUUUUAUUUGUAUGUUUUUAGUUGUAUCUCAGCACCGGGAGAAAGGUGGGAUGUUAAGUAAAUCAAUAAAUAGGGCACUCAUGGCAGAGACCCCAUUAAUCCAGCUGGAAAUACCCAGCAGAACAAAAGAAAAGUGUCUGCAUUUGUUUCUGGAAAUUACUGAUAGUGGGUAGCCCCUGAUAGCUUUAUCCUCCAUGAAUUGGUCUAAUCCUCUUUUGAAGCCAUUCAAUGUGAACCCCCCUCCUUCAGUGAAUUGGGAAAGGCAGAGGGUGGAGCUGCUGUUUGUUUUCCAGAAAUACUCAAUCACUCCCAAGACCUCAGCAUUUAUGAAUCCCCUGCAGGUGUCUCGUGAACCCCCAGGGGGAACCUAAGCUUUGCACAGAACUCUCUCUGGGCAUGGACUAGGUAACGAGGCACCCUCUGGUGGCUGCCUACAAAAAGGUUCUGCUCUGAUUAAGUCCUAUGGGUGGCUGGGGAGAACCUAUCAAAGCAGCAAGAAGAGUUGAGAUCUAAUCUCUGGCAGAGCUGACCUUACAAUCAGGACUCCCCACCUCCCACCCCCAGCACUCCACACACAGCAGUUGUUAUUAUCCAAGGGCGUCCAGGCCACAUUGUGCAUAGGAGCUGAUGGCUCAGCUCUCGUUUGCUCCUUUUUUGCAUGCUGUCUCCAUCACACGGGACACUGGUGGUGCUGUGGGUUAAACCACAGAGCCUAGAACUUGCCGAUCAGAAGGUCGGUGGUUCGAAUCCCCAUGACGGGGUUGAGCACCUGUUGUUCGGUCCCAACUCCUGCCCAUCUAGCAGUUUGAAAGCACGUCAAAGUGCAAGUAGAUAAAUAGGUACCGCUCUGGCGGGAAGGUAAACAGCGUUUCCGUGCGCUGCUCUGGUUCGCCAGAAGCAGCUUAGUCAUGCUGGCCACAUGACCCGGAAGCUGUACGCCGGCUCCCUCGGCCAGUAAAGCGAGAUGAGCACUGCAACCCCAGAGUUGGCCACGACUGGACCUAAUGGUCAGGGGUCCCUUUACCUUUUACUCCAUCACAAGCCUAAAGAUCCAGGUGGCAAACUGCAUGGUCUGCCUUCAGCUAACAGGUUUUAGAGUUCAUCAUCCAAUUCCCUAGAGCAGGGAGGUUCAACUUUUCACGCCAAGUGAGCCACAAGGCUACUUUGACACAGAACCCGGGGCCGCACAUAGCCCUGUCAUGCACAGGGUGGGGUGGGGAGCGAGGCCAGAAUUUGACGUCCCUCCCCAGCCCUUGCGCUGCAUUCCCAAAGGCGCGUAAGUGAGGCUCCAGGCCUUGGGAAGGAGGCACCAGGCUCUGGCAGGGUCCUAGAGCUCUCCCACCUUCUUCUCAAGCACUAACUAGGCUUUGAGAAGGAGGCAGGAGGACUCUAGUUGUCAUAAGGGAGAAGAUAUCACCCACCUGUAAAAAGAUGCCUGCAUGGAGUAAAGUAGUACACCUAGGGGAAAGUUUAAGGUCGGCUACAUUAUUACCCCGCCCAUCUGGCUGGGUUUUCCCAGCCACUCUGGGCGGCUUCCAACAAAACACUAAAAUACAAUAACCUAUUAAACAUUAAAAGCUUCCUGAUACAGGGCUGCCUUCAGAUGUCUUCUACAAGUUUGGUAAUUAUUUUUCUCCUUGACAUCUGGUGGGAGGGCAUUCCAGAGGGCGGGUGCCACUACCGAGAAGGCCCUCUGCCUGGUUCCCUGUAACUUAGCUUCUAAAGUGCUGCAGUCCAGCAUUCUGCUACCUUACUGGGUAUUAUGUAUAAUGGGCGGAAGGGCCAUAGCUCAGUAUCUGCCUUGUAUGCAUCCCUGCAUUGCAGGGGAUUGGACUAGAUGACCCUCAAGGUCCCUUCCAAGUCUACAAUUGUCUGAUUUACUGCAGAUUCCAGGUUGACUCCCUGACAUCUCCAGGUAGAGAGACUCUUCAUCGGUAACCCUGGAGAGCUGCUGCCAGUCAACCCAUUGAGUCUCUUUUUUUUGGAAAUAUAAUAAUAUAUUAUAAGAUAUUAUGAUAUAAUAAUAGCAAUAACCUUGGAGAUUGCAGCAAACAUGCUCGUCAGUAUAAAGAGAGUUUUAUGUAUACCUACCUAGAAGCUGCGGUGGCUUCCUGCAUUAUUUCAAAGCGGAGCGGAAUGGGAAUAUCAAAAUCAAUGACUUCUGCUUUGCUUUCAUUGCUAGAUUACUUCAAAUUGUGAUUUUUAUUACAUGGUAGUCACAAUGAAGGCCCUUUAAAUAGGGUGGAAAGUUACGGUCUACAUAUUUCAAACAGAAGUACAAAUGAAUAAAUACAGACAUAAUGCAGAUUAGUAGGGCAGUGACGCUACCUGUUGCCUGUAGUCUACCUUGUAAACUAUCCUUUUAGGCAUACGCACACAGUCAGAUUACAUAGAAUCAUAGAACUAGAAGAGACCCUGAGGAUCAUCUAGACCAACCCCCUGCAACGCAGGAAUGUGCAGCUGUCCCGGACAGGGAUUGAACCUGCAACUUUGGAGUUAUCAGCGCCAAGCUCUAGCCUAGUGAGCUAUCCAGGCUGCAAUCCAAGACACACUUACUAAAGAGUAAAUGUUGCUGAACACAGUAAACAUCUUAGUAAACAUCUGUAAGAUUGUGAUGAAAAUGUACAAGUGCAAAAAAUAAUCUGGAAAUAAAUAAAUAAAUAAAUAAUAAAAUAAAAUAAAACAAAACAAAACAAAACAAAAUAAAAUACUUUACCACCCCCCAUCCAGCACACACAAAGAAGCUGCCAGUCUGCACACACCUAUAUGCCACAAGAGUGAGUCUGGCAAACUGUUCAUAUUCAGGAGGAGAUGUUAUCUGCCUCAGUUGUGGGAGAGAAUAGCUGAGCCAUACAGCUGAGCAACAGUGUGGAAUGAGGCCAAGGAUGGGGAACCUGUGGCCCUCUUGAUGAUGUUGCGACUACAACUUGCAUCAUUCCUGACCAUCAGGGGUUGGAAUCCAGUUUCUCCACCUCUGGCACAGGUGCACAAGCGAUGAAUGAAAAUGGCGAGUAAGCAGUUUAAAGGUCAGGUGCUAAUUUGGCAAGAUGAGCGGCCAUCUGCCUUCAUUCUCCAGGUAAACCAGGGGAGAACUGGCACACACAGCCCUUCCCAAAAACGGCUUACUGGCAGGAAAGGCUUUCGAACUGCCCAUCUCUGAAUAUAUGUACUCUGGGUUUCUACUCGGUUUGGGAGCUUUCCAUAUUUGCUUAUAUGCUGGGUGGCAAAAGAGAAAGCUAUCCACAAGGGCGUUUCUUGAGACUGGUAUAAAGUUAAUCAACGCUGGAUGCAGGCUCAGAACAUCACUUCUUCUGAACUUUCUCUAAUACACACAGCUGCACUCCCCAGAGCCACUACUCUAACCAGUAAGACGCCACCUUAAAAAAGAAGCAAAAUGUGGUCGAGACUUCCCCUGCUUCAUUGUCUAACUCAGUGGACACUCAGAGAGGUGCAUUAAUAUAUUUGAGAUAUUGAUUUAACCCAAUAGAGCUUGUAGGUUUUUUCUUGUUUAAGUCCUAAAAUAAGAUCUUAAAAAACCACUUUCAAAAGAGUAACAAAGUUACAGUGGCAGGUCAUAGCUGUGGAAGUGUGAGAGAGAUGAAUAAGGCUCUGUGCUGUGCCCAAUGGGAUUUGGUUCCUUUUUUUAAAAAAGCAAGUUUCUAGCCUUGAAAGUCAUAGAAAAUAAAUAUUGAAAACCUGAUCCGAAUUUACUAAAAGCACAUAUGUCCCAGAGAUACAGGAUUCUAAGACAAGAAGGGCCAGAAUUCUGCAGUUUAGAUAAAUCCUUAGAGAUGUGAGCAGUCAGAUUUAUUGUUUGCAUUCAAUUUUCUUCAGAAUCAGACGUUGCUCAGCAGCGCGCCCACAAUUCCACUCGCCCCAAGUGCUGAAGCCGUUUUUCUGCGAUUGCAACAUACUUAACCUGGUUUCUCCUACAACGGUGGCUUUCAGUCUGUUUCCCAGGAAACCCUGGGGAUCCUUAAACCCUACGGGGCAUUCGUCAGCGGGAAAACCAGCAGCAGCACACAUGCUGAAAGACAGCUUGCCCAGCACUAACGACUGUCCCCUGCGAUGCACAACCGUGGGGGUAGAAUUGGCUGCGCAUGUUCAGCAGUGCUGUCUCUGCUCACGCAGAGCAAUAAUGAGAUCCGACAGGUCUGGCUGACAGCGCCCCUUGCUCACUUUGCACUGUAGAAACGUGCCCCAGGAGCAUCUGAAAUGCAUGGGAGCUCCUCAACGCGCAAGGUGCAAAAGAGUUGUCUGAAAGGGGUUUAAAUCCCGGCUUUGGAAUGAGUUGCAGCGAAGAAAAACAAAGCAAAACCCAGAGGCAGAGCAGAACUCUGCAGUCUGCACAGAGUCUUGGCAAGAAAGUUUGUGUGUGUGUGUGUGUGUAUCAGAGUUAAGUGCAAACCAGGAGACCUUCUGCUGCAGAACAAGGCAAGAGCAUACGGCUUGUAGCAGCAGGGGAUUGUUCCGUUCCAUGAGAGUGGGGAAAGGCCAAGGUCCUGGCUCAGCGUAGCCAAGCUCGUGUCUCCAACACAGCCGCAGGCACGCAAGACACACUCUGUUUCCUGCAAAGCUGCCUCCAGCAUUUCUCAUUUAUGUUUCGGCCCACAGCCAGCCAAGACUAGGUUAUUUUAAACAGACAUCUUUCCAGUAAUGGUCCAACUGGGGGAUGCCCUGGAUUCGCUCCCUUCUCUAUUAGCUCUCUAUCCAAGUAGAUGCUGUGCAUAGAAGGGCAGAUGCGUCAUGCACAUGGUGUGGGGGAAAGGAUGGGGGUCCCUAGCCAGCCAACUAGACCAGCAGCUCUCGGUGAGCCUGGUGCGAAGCUUGUAAAACAUCCACCCGCGCACUGGAGCCACGGGCCUGAAACCUCUUUAACCAAGGAGUGCAACGCAACAGCUGGGAAACAUUACAGUGGAAAAUGAUGCUAAAGACCCAUGGAAAGUCUCCAGCUCUUCCCCGCCAAAAACACAUUAAUAGGCUGCAGUGGUGCCUCCUGGGAGCUCAACUGCAGACAUGUAGGGGAGCCAGGGAGCAGCCGUUCCUCAGAAAGAUUGGUGUAAUCUCACCAACGUGUUUCAGCAUGAACAUGCACCUGCCAACAUUUGGAAAUCCAAAGCAUC
This 5627-nucleotide long non-coding RNA is filed under the name Podarcis lilfordi (Lilford's wall lizard). Lineage: Eukaryota; Metazoa; Chordata; Lepidosauria; Squamata; Lacertidae. The record is from RNAcentral.